AUGAUUACUAGUCAGUGUAAAGUAUCCUUCAUUGAUGUGAACUGUCAUAUAAUCCUUCACAACCUCCAUUAUGCGAAAGAACAGACACUUGCACAUCUAGUAGCGACGUCAAAAGAAGCCCUCAUGAUAUAUCUGGGCUUUGAAGUAGUAGUUGUAGAGAUCAUAUGGUCCUUUGUCCUAUUCCUAGUAACAAUUAUCCUGCCAAACGUUGAACCUAGGAAUGUGCUCCUUUUCCUUCUCCAUUGCUUCGAGGGUGCUCAUCAUCAUCAUCAUCAUCAUCAUCACCUAGUAGUAUGCCGUCAUUGGAUGAUAAUGAUGACACUACAAGGUGAUGACAAAUAA
Molecule: ribosomal RNA, 342 nt
Filed under: Triticum aestivum (bread wheat)
Lineage: Eukaryota; Viridiplantae; Streptophyta; Magnoliopsida; Poales; Poaceae
Description: partial small subunit ribosomal RNA
Source: RNAcentral